Molecule: ribosomal RNA, 253 nt
Filed under: uncultured bacterium
Lineage: Bacteria
Description: partial 16S ribosomal RNA
Rfam family: Bacterial small subunit ribosomal RNA
Source: RNAcentral
CACGUAGGGCGCAAGCGUUGUCCGGAAUUAUUGGGCGUAAAGAGCUCGUAGGCGGUCUGUUGCGUCCGCUGUGAAAACUCGGGGCUUAACCCCGAGCCUGCAGUGGAUACGGGCAGACUAGAGGUAGGUAGGGGAGAAUGGAAUUCCCGGUGUAGCGGUGAAAUGCGCAGAUAUCAGGAGGAACACCAGUAGCGAAGGCGGCACUCUGGGCCGGUACUGACGCUGAGGAGCGAAAGCGUGGGGAGCGAACAGG